AUGUUAUCAAUCGUGGAUGAAGAAGGUGAUAAAGUAUUACCCUCACUGCCUAACAUUGAACACUUAUCCCUUGAAUCCUGCAAUCUCACAAAACUUCCAAGUGUAUUGAGGUAUUUAGAUAAAAUUUCAGACCUCAAUCUUUCAAGUAAUCAAAUUAGUGGUGUUAUACCAAGGUGGGUAUGGGAGAAUUGGAAGGAUCAGGUUGAUAUUCUGGACCUCUCCAACAACAUGUUUACUGCUCUGGAGAAAUCUUCUUCUCUUGUUCAUAUGCCAUAUCUGACAUACCUUAAUCUCAGCUUUAAUAGACUUCAAGGAAGCAUACCAAUACCAAUAACUUCGUAUGUCUCAGCACCGUACUUCUUGUACAAUGGGGUUGUGUUGGAUUACUCAAACAAUAACUUCUCUUCCAUCAUACCUAACAUUGGAAGAUAUAUUCAGAACUCCAUAUAUCUUGAUUUGUCCAAGAAUAAAUUAAGUGGCCAUCUACCAUCUUCAAUUUGUAGUGCAUGUUAA
RNAcentral lists this ribosomal RNA (513 nucleotides) under Triticum aestivum (bread wheat). RNAcentral describes it as "partial small subunit ribosomal RNA". Lineage: Eukaryota; Viridiplantae; Streptophyta; Magnoliopsida; Poales; Poaceae. The record is from RNAcentral.